GGGGGAUAAUCGGGAGAAAUCCCGUCUAAUACCGCGUAAUGCCGCGGGGCUGCAUGGCCCUGCGGCCAAAGGGAGCGAUUCCGGCAACGGAUGGGCAUGCGUGACAUUAGCUAGUUGGCGGGGCAACGGCCCACCAAGGCGACGAUGUCUAGGGGUUCUGAGAGGAAGGUCCCCCACACUGGUACUGAGACACGGACCAGACUCCUACGGGAGGCAGCAGUGAGGAAUAUUGGUCAAUGGGCGCGAGCCUGAACCAGCCAAGUCGCGUGAGGGAUGACGGCCCUACGGGUUGUAAACCUCUUUUGUCGGGGAGCAAAUUCCGCCACGUGUGGCGGAGUCGAGAGUACCCGAAGAAAAAGCAUCGGCUAACUCCGUGCCAGCAGCCGCGGUAAUACGGAGGAUGCGAGCGUUAUCCGGAUUUAUUGGGUUUAAAGGGUGCGUAGGCGGACUGUCAAGUCAGCGGUAAAAUACGGGGGCUCAACCUCCGCCCGCCGUUGAAACUGACGGUCUUGAGUGGGCGAGAAGUAUGCGGAAUGCGUGGUGUAGCGGUGAAAUGCAUAGAUAUCACGCAGAACUCCGAUUGCGAAGGCAGCAUACCGGCGCCCGACUGACGCUGAAGCACGAAAGCGUGGGUAUCGAACAGGAUUAGAUACCCUGGUAGUCCACGCAGUAAAC
This 675-nucleotide ribosomal RNA is filed under the name uncultured bacterium. RNAcentral describes it as "bacterial SSU rRNA". It matches the Rfam family "Bacterial small subunit ribosomal RNA", at positions 138 to 807 of the family's 1533-position model. The record is from RNAcentral.